AUCUUAUUAGUUUUAUUUUUAAAACAUUAAAUUGCAAAUUUAAAAAUUUUUAUUUAAAAAUAAGAUU
RNAcentral lists this transfer RNA (67 nucleotides) under Acropyga myops. RNAcentral's name for it is "tRNA-Cys". The record is from RNAcentral. Lineage: Eukaryota; Metazoa; Arthropoda; Insecta; Hymenoptera; Formicidae.